AACGAACGCUGGCGGCAGGCCUAACACAUGCAAGUCGAACGGGAUCUUCGGAUCUAGUGGCGGACGGGUGAGUAACGCGUGGGAACGUGCCCUUUGGUUCGGAAUAGCCCUGGGAAACUGGGAGUAAUACCGGAUACGGUCGAGAGACGAAAGAUUUAUCGCCGAAGGAUCGGCCCGCGUUGGAUUAGGUAGUUGGUGGGGUAAUGGCCUACCAAGCCGACGAUCCAUAGCUGGUUUGAGAGGAUGAUCAGCCACACUGGGACUGAGACACGGCCCAGACUCCUACGGGAGGCAGCAGUGGGGAAUCUUAGACAAUGGGGGAAACCCUGAUCUAGCCAUGCCGCGUGAGCGAUGAAGGCCUUAGGGUUGUAAAGCUCUUUCAGUGGGGAAGAUAAUGACGGUACCCACAGAAGAAGCCCCGGCUAACUCCGUG
RNAcentral lists this ribosomal RNA (433 nucleotides) under uncultured organism. Its description in RNAcentral is "bacterial SSU rRNA". It matches the Rfam family "Bacterial small subunit ribosomal RNA", at positions 29 to 507 of the family's 1533-position model. The record is from RNAcentral.